This 309-nucleotide ribosomal RNA is filed under the name Triticum aestivum (bread wheat). Its description in RNAcentral is "partial small subunit ribosomal RNA". The record is from RNAcentral. Lineage: Eukaryota; Viridiplantae; Streptophyta; Magnoliopsida; Poales; Poaceae.
AUGAAGGACUUGGUUAUCCGGUUGUGGCCUGCAGAGCCAAUUCCAAGCAGUUACUUCGGACUCGUAAAGCGGAUUGUGGGUGUCUGUCCUCGGCUUGAUGCUAUCAAGCGAUCAGUCUGUAUAGAAGGUGCGCGCAUGGCGUUUGCCCAUGCAAAAGUGCAUUGGUGGAAGCUUGAUGCGAAUAAGCUGAUGACUGAGGGACCACCGGAGGGAAAGGAGCAUCGCAAGCCCGAACUGUACUAUGAAGGUGUACUGAAGGGUGCCCGCCUGGCGGCGGAUAAGUGGACCAAAGACAUUAUAUUUCCCUGA